Molecule: small RNA, 107 nt
Filed under: Marmota monax (woodchuck)
Lineage: Eukaryota; Metazoa; Chordata; Mammalia; Rodentia; Sciuridae
Source: RNAcentral
GCCAGGUGUGGUGGUGCACGCCUGUGAUCCCAGCUACAGAGGAGGCUGAGGCAGGAGGAUCACAAGUACCAGGCCAGCCUGGGCAGUUUAGCAAGAGCCUGUCUCCA